UAUAUAUAUCAGAAAUAAUGAAAAGAUAUCCCGACAGCAGCGACGACGACGACGAAAAGCAGCCGACCCUGCGGGCGGUGCUGAGUGCUGCCCUGUAUGGAGCCCAGCAGAGCUUGUGGGUCACACAGCACCCCGUUUCCUUACGGCCAGGAAUGCGAUUGUUUUCUUGGGACGAUCCAACUCUGACCGCUGGGCACCAACCCUUCGCUACGGGAAUAUCUGAUGGAAAUGGAUUUUCAUAUCUUUCUCCUGAAAAAAUAAAUUCUCUGUUUGAAAUUGGAAUAAAUUUUGUUCCUAAAA
Non-coding RNA from Phasianus colchicus (ring-necked pheasant), 300 nucleotides. The record is from RefSeq and is a predicted model, not a curated record. NCBI's taxonomy places the organism in Eukaryota, Metazoa, Chordata, Aves, Galliformes, Phasianidae.